UCACCUGAGUCCGGAUUUUUAUCCGAUGUAUCCUUUGUGGAUUGUUUUGCUGUAUUGGCAUAUUCCCCAAUACAUGUAUCUUUGCGUCAGCUCGAGUCUUUCCAUCGAUUUAUUUUCAUGGAAUCCCUUCGUGUCUCCAUGCAAGUCUUAAGUCGUGAUCUGCUCACGCACUUUACCCUUAUUUCUCCCUAGAGUCUCUGUCUCCCUAGUGAGCGUAUUACUCCUAUGGAUUUUCAGUCUCUCCUGAUUUCUUUU
RNAcentral lists this long non-coding RNA (255 nucleotides) under Lathyrus oleraceus (garden pea). Its description in RNAcentral is "Pisum sativum (pea) long non-coding RNA (PSAT_LNC020875)". Lineage: Eukaryota; Viridiplantae; Streptophyta; Magnoliopsida; Fabales; Fabaceae. The record is from RNAcentral.